This 1876-nucleotide long non-coding RNA is filed under the name Malus domestica (apple). RNAcentral describes it as "long non-coding RNA (MDOM_LNC010951)". Lineage: Eukaryota; Viridiplantae; Streptophyta; Magnoliopsida; Rosales; Rosaceae. The record is from RNAcentral.
GAGUAAGCCGGGCCGGCCCAGAGCUCAGAAAAUGAAAAACUUCCAUUGAAGUGCUUGCCUUUCUUCGAGUUGUUGACAUUGAUAGCAAUUGGGGUGCUUCUACUCAAUGUUCUGCUAUCAGACUGUGAAACUGGACUAGGUGUAUGUAUCUUGUUUGGACUAGUUGUAGUUAUCCUAGGAGGAGAACCAGAGCAUGCUCCCCGUUUGGAUACAGGAGUAGAGCAAGCCUUGGAUGGGGUUGGGAGUAUACCUGACCCGGAUUGGAAAGUCCGGCAAUUGAUCCCUCGGAAGUCCUUGGACGGCGACGGGCCGACUUGGCCCGGCCCGUGUGGCUUCCCCUGGCCAUAGUACUGGUUCUUAUGCUGCGCCACAACCAGAAGAGUCUCCAUUACAAAAGAUUCAGUGAGUCAAAGAGUACAACUCGGCCGAGUCAGUCCGAUUCUCAGAGUAAACGAUCUACUUCUACAACUCAGCCCCAAAAUGCUAAAAGAUUACAGCUUUACGGUAAGAAUCGCAGGAAAAUCAGUCCAAUCGAAGACCCAGAUCCCGAUCAGAUUCAGAUCAGAAAAAGCACCUAUUUCGCUGUAAAUCGAAAGAUCAUAACUGAAAAUUAGAUCUAAGAACUGCGUAAAAAUGAUUACCCCAAACACGAAAUACACAAAACCCAUGAAAAUUAAACAUUCAAAUCGAAAACCCAUGAUUAUUUUCUCGAGAAAGUGAUGGAAAAUUACCAAAUCGAGCGAGAAAAUUCUCACUUGGACCACAAAGGCAGUAAUCACCUCUCAAUCUUUGCUCUGCUUCUGGUUCUCGAGCACUGGUUUUUCGGGGAUCGGAGUGAAAUGGGGAAUUGAGCCCCGGAGAGGAGAAAGGGAGAGGGAGAGAGAAAGGUACAAGGAGGAGAGACGAAGAAAGCACAAAAAAUGGCUGUCUACAGUUGUAGUAUAUAACAAACGUACACUACUACUGUGGUACAGUACAGCCCCAUAUGGCACAGCCCAGUUGACUAUUUUACCCCUUGAAAUUUCCUUUUUGGGCGAACAAAAUCAAAGUCUAUAAAAAUCCUCUCUUAACGUUCAAAGUUGUACUGCUAAUUUGCUUCUUUGUUAGCCACUGUAGUAUGAAAUAUUGUGCUAAUUUUACCCAAAAAAAAAGAAAUAUUGUGCUAAUACGACUUUUAUGUGUGUCUGCAAACAAUACGAGUAGUUGGCUCAGUUUGUUUUAUUUGUCAUAUGUUAACAAUCUUAACUAUUAAACGAUUAAAAUGACUUUGAGAUCCGAAAGUAUACUUUCGUUUUAAUCUUCUAGUUCAUAUUAUGAAAAAAUAUACAUAUAAAAUGCUUCUAGUUCCUUAUAAUCCUAAUUUAGUUUAUGAAAUGUAAUUUUUUAGGGAGGAACGAAGGUAAAAUAUAUACAUAAAAAAAAAGUAUUUGUCAGUUUGUCUUUCAAACUUGUACAAAGUUGCUAAUUUUUCUUUAAACUUUAAUUUUAGUCGAUUGACUACCUGAACUAUUAUAAUUAGCCAAUUUCCUCCUGAACUUUAAUUGUACCCCUAAAAUUUUAUAAAUAACUAAUUUCCCCUACAUAGAUUUUAAAAUUCUUCAUUAAUUUCCCCUACAUAGAUUUUAAAAUUCUUCAUCCAAUUUUCACGUAUCCAAUUUGUCAUUCUUUUGCCCACAUAUAGUUGUCAUGUGUUGUCCGCGUGAUCAAAAUGAAUAAAAAAUUUAAAAUCUAGCAUCAGGAGAAAAUGGGUUGUUUAUAAAAGUUCAAGGGAUAAAUGGCUCAAAUUAAAGUUCAAGGAGAAAAUCGGCUAAUAAUAAAAAAUUGGGAAGUAAUUAACUAAAAUUAAAGUUCAAAAGAAAAUUAAUAGCUCUAUAUA